AAAUAGAUACCCCGGUAGUCCACGCCCUAAACGAUGUCAACUGGUUGUCGGGGAAGUUAUUCCUUGGUAACGAAGCUAACGCGUGAAGUUGACCGCCUGGGGAGUACGGCCGCAAGGUUAAAACUCAAAAGGAAUUGACGGGGACCCGCACAAGCGGUGGAUUAUGUGGAUUAAUUCGAUGCAACGCGAAAAACCUUACCUACCCUUGACUUGUCAGGAAUCCUGCAGAGAUGCGGGAGUGCCCGAAAGGGAACCUGAACACAGGUGCUGCAUGGCUGUCGUCAGCUCGUGUCGUGAGAUGUUGGGUUAAGUCCCGCAACGAGCGCAACCCUUGCCAUUAGUUGCCACAUUCAGUUGGGCACUCUAAUGGGACUGCCGGUGACAAACCGGAGGAAGGUGGGGAUGACGUCAAGUCCUCAUGGCCCUUAUGGGUAGGGCUUCACACGUAAUACAAUGGCCGGUACAGAGGGCUGCCAACCCGCAAGGGGGAGCUAAUCCCAGAAAGCCGGUCGUAGUCCGGAUUGUUCUCUGCAACUCGAGAGCAUGAAGUCGG
RNAcentral lists this ribosomal RNA (553 nucleotides) under uncultured bacterium. RNAcentral's name for it is "bacterial SSU rRNA". It matches the Rfam family "Bacterial small subunit ribosomal RNA", at positions 776 to 1329 of the family's 1533-position model. The record is from RNAcentral.